CCGGCACGGGUGAGUAACGCGUAUGCAACUUACCUAUCAGGAGGGGAUAACCCGGCGAAAGUCGGACUAAUACCGCAUGAAGCAGGGGCCCCGCAUGGGGAUAUUUGCUAAAGAUUCAUCGCUGAUAGAUAGGCAUGCGUUCCAUUAGGCAGUUGGCGGGGUAACGGCCCACCAAACCGACGAUGGAUAGGGGUCCUGAGAGGAAGGUCCCCCACAUUGGUACUGAGACACGGACCAA
This 238-nucleotide ribosomal RNA is filed under the name uncultured bacterium. RNAcentral's name for it is "partial 16S ribosomal RNA". It matches the Rfam family "Bacterial small subunit ribosomal RNA", at positions 100 to 334 of the family's 1533-position model. The record is from RNAcentral.